GGCUCUGUGGCGCAAUGGAUAGCGCAUUGGACUUCUAGACCAAUAGGGGUAUUCAAAGGUUGUGGGUUCGAGUCCCACCAGAGUCG
Molecule: transfer RNA, 86 nt
Filed under: Pteropus alecto (black flying fox)
Lineage: Eukaryota; Metazoa; Chordata; Mammalia; Chiroptera; Pteropodidae
Also listed under: 1 other name
Rfam family: tRNA
About the family: Transfer RNA (tRNA) molecules are approximately 80 nucleotides in length. Their secondary structure includes four short double-helical elements and three loops (D, anti-codon, and T loops).
Source: Rfam by way of RNAcentral